RNAcentral lists this ribosomal RNA (463 nucleotides) under uncultured bacterium. Its description in RNAcentral is "partial 16S ribosomal RNA". It matches the Rfam family "Bacterial small subunit ribosomal RNA", at positions 355 to 810 of the family's 1533-position model. The record is from RNAcentral.
UGGGGAAUUUUGGACAAUGGGGGCAACCCUGAUCCAGCAAUGCCGCGUGUGUGAAGAAGGCCUUCGGGUUGUAAAGCACUUUUGUCCGGAAAGAAAACGCCGUGGUUAAUACCCGUGGCGGAUGACGGUACCGGAAGAAUAAGCACCGGCUAACUACGUGCCAGCAGCCGCGGUAAUACGUAGGGUGCAAGCGUUAAUCGGAAUUACUGGGCGUAAAGCGUGCGCAGGCGGUCCGCUAAGACAGAUGUGAAAUCCCCGGGCUUAACCUGGGAACUGCAUUUGUGACUGGCGGGCUAGAGUAUGGCAGAGGGGGGUAGAAUUCCACGUGUAGCAGUGAAAUGCGUAGAGAUGUGGAGGAAUACCGAUGGCGAAGGCAGCCCCCUGGGCCAAUACUGACGCUCAUGCACGAAAGCGUGGGGAGCAAACAGGAUUAGAUACCCUGGUAGUCCACGCCCUAAACGAU